Molecule: ribosomal RNA, 440 nt
Filed under: uncultured Acetobacteraceae bacterium
Lineage: Bacteria; Pseudomonadati; Pseudomonadota; Alphaproteobacteria; Acetobacterales; Acetobacteraceae
Description: partial 16S ribosomal RNA
Source: RNAcentral
GACUACUGGGGUAUCUAAUCCUGUUUGCUCCCCACGCUUUCGCGCCUCAGCGUCAGUAUCGGACCAGGUCGCCGCCUUCGCCACCGGUGUUCUUCCCAAUAUCUACGAAUUUCACCUCUACACUGGGAAUUCCACGACCCUCUUCCGAACUCAAGAUCGCACGUAUCAAAUGCAGCCCCCAGGUUGAGCCCGGGAAUUUCACAUCUGACUGUACAAUCCGCCUACGCGCCCUUUACGCCCAGUCAUUCCGAGCAACGCUAGCCCCCUUCGUAUUACCGCGGCUGCUGGCACGAAGUUAGCCGGGGCUUCUUCUACGGGUACCGUCAUCAUCGUCCCCGUCGAAAGUGCUUUACAAUCCGAAGACCUUCUUCACACACGCGGCAUUGCUGGAUCAGGCUUGCGCCCAUUGUCCAAUAUUCCCCACUGCAGCCUCCCGUAGG